CAUAGUUACAUUUAAUGCUGUGGAACAUCCCAUAAGAAAAUGAGUUAUUACUUAUGUUAUUACUUAUGUUGCAUCUAUAAACAGUCGUUUCUUGAAGUAAAUAUGGCGGAAAUUGCAGCUUAUCAUUGAAAAAUGCCAGUGUCUUCAAUCCUCAAUCCUUAGACUUUCUUGUGUUGGUAAACUUAAAGUUACAGCUUUAGCUCUGACUGUUAGAAAGCAGUGACAUUGGAGACUCCUUCCAUAAAUGUUAAAUAAACGUUGACCACUCAAAUCUGACCGAUCGAAUCCAAAUGACAAGAGCAACAGAAUUCAUAAUGACAAAUUCCAGAUGUUUUCACUUGAUAUUGUUUGCAUAAUUAAAACUUCACCUUUCAGUCCCUCCAGGAUUUCGUGAUCACAGAAAUAAAUGCAAAAAACAAGCAAACUCCGCAAUAUUUGGAGGAGCUUGCAAUUGUUUAAAAUUUAUGCAGAUAUUCUGAUUUAGGCCAAGACGUGUCAUGUGACAUCAUCACAACACACAUUCAGCCAAAGCUUUCUUUGAUUCAUGUGCGUACACGAAUCAGCUAAAAGGUCUCAUUUACCAACAAACAACACUGCGAAAGACCAUGCAAAAUAUUUUGCGCAAUCGCAAUUUCACCAAUUCAGGUUGUUUUCUGCAAAAAAAGCACUAAGAACUCCAGAAAAUUGCAUCACAAAUUUUUGGAAAAAACCGCAAAAUGUUUGUUUUUUUUAAGCAAAACAUUCGAAAAGAGUUUCGCAUUCUCCAAAGAAUACUUCGCAUCCUCUCGUAAAACCCGUUGUGUUCUCUCCCACGAACACACAGACUUCUGCACGGUGCACGCUCUUGUAUUUGCAUCAUUUGAGUGAUCUAAACCACUGCCCUGCUGCCAGCGAGAAAUUAAACAGGAAGUACCGUUUGUACUUAACGACGAGAGGACGCAAAAGUUGUGCGACGGAACGGAAAAAAAUUCGCGAGAGAUAGCAAAAAAAUUCCAACCAAACACAAACUUUCUUGGGAAAAAUUGGGAUAAAUUCGCUCAUUUAAAAUCUCUAUCCCGUGUUUACAUGUUUCAGUAAAGCUGCUUUGAGACAAAGUCCAUUGUAAAAAGAGCUAUACAAAUAAAAUUGAAUUGAAUUGAAUUCUCGGGGGAAUGUAAAAGUUUUGCGAGCGAACACGAAAGCAUUGAAAUUGGCAUUUUCCUCCUAUCUCUUAUUUUUUCCAUCAGCAUGUCCCCGUAGGGACUCUGUAUAAACCUCAACCUAAAAACUACAGAUAACCAUUUUUUAGUUGCAAGUUGGGUCAAAACUUUGGUACUGUUACUGUUUUGGCUGAGAACCUUGGCUGAAACAUUGUCCUAAGUACAAUAUACAGCACCUUAACUUUGAUAGUUUAAAAAGUGUAUCAGCGGGACAGAGUUUGCGAAAGGCAGACACCUUUGAAUUGAAAUAGAAAGCUCUGCAUGCAGAGUUGUAGUAGUUUAACAAAAACGGACUAAUGAGUGUGGCUGUGGCGCUGGUCGUCUGUGUAGAAAACUCUAGCUUCAACUUUGUGCCUAAAGCAGCCCAUUCAUCAUCCGUCAUGACUGCAGCUACAACGGAUUUCGUCUUUGAAUAAUAAAUCACGAGCGAUGUGGGUUUCGGACGGCCGGCUGGCUGCGGCUAGACCCGACUAGCUAAAAGAAAUGAAGUAAGAUGGAUGUGUGGAUGCCAUGUGACCUAAAUCUCUUGUGGAGAGUUAUAUUUUGUGAUGUAAUCUGAUGAUUUGGUUAAGCUGUUUGCUGCCAGUGAAUAUUUGGAACUUGGUGAAAGAAAGAAUCGAAGACUCAAAUGAAUAUCUGAGAAGAAUUUGGCAAAUUUCAGAGUUCUUUGCUAAUUACAGAUGACUCAGUGUUGCAAGGCUGCAGAAGUCUUGGCUCAUAUUUAGCACUAACCUGAGAGCAUGGUUCAGUGUUUCUCCACUUUGGGCAUGAGAAGGCACAUGGUUGCUGCAGGCUUUGUGCCUUACAGCAAGCUAGUGCAGGCGCACAACGGCACAACAUUCUGUCUCCGCUUAGCUGAUGUAACCCAGCAGAAACCCGCGCUCUCUCCUUCUCUCCUCCCGCAAUCAACUUAUGCCUCUUGAGCACCAGGCUCGGCUGUAAAACACUCCGCUGUCAUUAUGUCAUGCAAAUUUUGGCAGUUCUUUAUGACGAAACAACAGCAUAUGUUUUGCUCAACUCUCAUUUGUAACUCAUAACCAGGAGUAUGCCAAACAGCUCAAAGUUUCAGUUUCUCAAGUCCUGAUCGAGAUGUACAAGGGCAGGGGAGGGCACAUAUAUAGGGCUUUUUGAAUGAUAGUGUGUGUUAACUGGCUUAGGAUCAGAGUUUCGUGUUUGCUGCAUGAGCUUGUCGAAUUUCGUUAACGUACAAAGGGUUGAAACGAGACUUUUCAGAGCUUUUGUCAGCUCUGAUCUUGCAUCAGUUUUUGUCUUUUAUGCUCUUUGACUUUUCUUUGAAAUUGACCAAACAACCUGCUAUUAGCUAUAGAUGAGUCAUUAAUUUUCGAACAUUGAGACAGUCUUUCAAAUUACUAUUUUAAAGUGUUUUUUCACACUUCCUGCAUUUUUAACUUACUGUUAGAUGUUUUAAGUGGCAAGAUACCAUUUGUGCCCAAUUGGGUGAAUCUGUACCAACAAUAGCCUCAGAUUCCUGUUCUUGGCUGACAGAAGUGAAACCGAACAAGGUCUUCUGCUGUUAUAGCCCAUCCGCCUCAAGUUUUGACGUGGUAUGCAUUCUGAAAUGCUUUUCUGCUCACCAUGGAUGUAAAGAGAAGUUAUUUGAGUUACCAAAGCCUUCUUGUCUAAUCGAACCAUUCUGGUCAAUAUCCUCUGACCUCUGACCUCUAUAAUCGACAAGGCGUUUCUGCAUGCAGAACCUAGAUGGGUUUUUUUGUUUUGUUUUUUUCACCGUUCUUUUUAAACUCUAGAGACUGUUGUGUGUAAAAUCCCAGGAGAUAAGCAGUUUCUGAAAUACUCAAACCAGCCUGUCCAACAAUCAUGCUCCUGUUAAAGUCACUGAGAUCACAUUUUUUCCUUGUUCUGAUGUUUGAUAUGAACAUUAUUUGAAGCUCUUGACUUGUAUCUGCAUGAACUUAAGCAUUGCAGGGCUUCCUCAUAAUUGGCUGACUAGAAAAUUACAUGAAUUGAAUAUUCAUUUAUUUGCAGAAUUUGCAAUAUAUAUAUAUAUAUAUAUA
Ictalurus punctatus (channel catfish) is the source of this 3232-nucleotide long non-coding RNA. The record is from Ensembl. NCBI's taxonomy places the organism in Eukaryota, Metazoa, Chordata, Actinopteri, Siluriformes, Ictaluridae.